RNAcentral lists this ribosomal RNA (1223 nucleotides) under Pimelodella cristata. Its description in RNAcentral is "partial 16S ribosomal RNA". It matches the Rfam family "Bacterial large subunit ribosomal RNA", at positions 701 to 2576 of the family's 2925-position model. The record is from RNAcentral. Lineage: Eukaryota; Metazoa; Chordata; Actinopteri; Siluriformes; Heptapteridae.
CUUUAGUUCAAGCCCCGAAACUAAGUGAGCUACCCCGGGACAGCCUAUUAAUUAGGGCCAACCCGUCUCUGUGGCAAAAGAGUGGGAAGAUCCCCGGGUAGAGGUGACAGACCUACCGAGCUUAGUUAUAGCUGGUUGCCUAAAAAAUGGAUAGAAGUUCAGCCUCGCACUCCUCAACUCACAAACAAUUAAAAUUCAAGAGCCAGAGAAAAAUGCGAGAGUUAGCCAAAAGAGGUACAGCUCAUUUGGAACAGGAUACAACCUUACCAGGAGGUUAAAGAUUAUACUAAACAAGAUAUACCGUUGCAGUGGGCCUAAAAGCAGCCACCUGAACAGAAAGCGUUAAAGCUCAAACGAACUAAACAUCUAUUAUUCAAAUAAUAAAUCUAAAACCCCUAAUCAUAUUAGGCCCUCCUAUGUAAACAUAGAAAAGAUACUGCUAAAAUGAGUAAUAAGAAGAACAAAUCUUCUCCUAGCCUACGUGUAAACUAGAUCGGACCCCCCACUAGUGAUUAUCGAACCCAACCCAAGAGGGUAGUAUGUACAUACCAAAUAUCAAGAAAAACCCAUAUUAAACCAUCGUUAAACCCACACCGGAAGGCCUACAUUUAGGAAAGACUAAAAGAAAAGGAAGGAACUCGGCAAACACAAGCCUCGCCUGUUUACCAAAAACAUGGCCUCCUGCAAACCCCGACGUAUAGGAGGUCUCACCUGCCCAGUGACAAGUUUUAACGGCCGCGGUAUUUUGACCGUGCGAAGGUAGCGCAAUCACUUGUCUUUUAAAUGAAGACCUGUAUGAAUGGUAGAACGAGGGCUUAACUGUCUCCCCUUUCAAGUCAAUGAAAUUGAUCUGCCCGUGCAGAAGCGGACAUACAAAUACAAGACGAGAAGACCCUUUGGAGCUUUAGACAUAAGACCACCUAUGUCAAGGAUAAUAAAAUAAAUCAAACUAAAUAGUAAUUGGUCCUAAUCUUUUGUUGGGGCGACCGCGGGAAAAAAGAAAGCUCCCACGAAGAACGGGGCACCACCCUGAAACCAAGAAAGACAUUUCCAAGUCACAGAAUAUCUGACUUUAAAGACCCGGCUAUUAUGCCGACCAACGGACCAAGUUACCCUAGGGAUAACAGCGCAAUCCCCUCCCAGAGGCCAUAUCGACGAGGGGGUUUACGACCUCGAUGUUGGAUCAGGACAUCCUAAUGGUGCAGCCGCUAUUAAGCGCUCGU